AGAUAGAGGAGUGCUCGAGAGAGAGCCGUAACACAGGUGCUGCAUGGCUGUCGUCAGCUCGUGUCGUGAGAUGUUGGGUUAAGUCCCGCAACGAGCGCAACCCUUGUCAUUAGUUGCUACAUUCAGUUGGGCACUCUAAUGAGACUGCCGGUGACAAACCGGAGGAAGGUGGGGAUGACGUCAAGUCCUCAUGGCCCUUAUAGGUGGGGCUACACACGUCAUACAAUGGAUGGUACAAAGGGUCGCCAACCCGCGAGGGGGAGCCAAUCCCAUAAAGCCAUUCGUAGUCCGGAUCGCAAUCUGCAACUCGACUGCGUGAAGUCGGAAUCGCUAGUAAUCGUGGAUCAGAAUGUCACGGUGAAUACGUUCCCGGGUCUU
This 378-nucleotide ribosomal RNA is filed under the name uncultured Acidovorax sp. RNAcentral's name for it is "bacterial SSU rRNA". It matches the Rfam family "Bacterial small subunit ribosomal RNA", at positions 1002 to 1382 of the family's 1533-position model. The record is from RNAcentral. Lineage: Bacteria; Pseudomonadati; Pseudomonadota; Betaproteobacteria; Burkholderiales; Comamonadaceae.